RNAcentral lists this long non-coding RNA (1327 nucleotides) under Oncorhynchus kisutch (coho salmon). Its description in RNAcentral is "lncRNA (ENSOKIG00005042085.1)". The record is from RNAcentral. Lineage: Eukaryota; Metazoa; Chordata; Actinopteri; Salmoniformes; Salmonidae.
AUGUUCGCUCUAUAUGCCACAGCUCUCCUCUGCUUCCUGUCUUCGAGCCAAUCAGCUCCUGCUGCAGCUCUAGGCUGUGAGGACCUCCUUACGCCCAUAGAUCCACCACGACUAGACCAGCAGCUCUUGGGAAGAUGGGCCCUCGUCACAGACAGUUCACCAUGGAGUUUACAUCUGCUACCAACACCAGAACCGGAACCGGCAUGGCGGCUGGUGCAAGUAGUGUAUAUACCCGACAGCAUCUCCAUUGUCAACGGCAACAGCACCUUCCAGUUAGACAUGAGGGGCUUUUGGAACAUCACUGGGGUCUCCCUGGAGACCUCCUGCCCAGACUUCCUGGUGAUGAGCCAAUCAGCUCCUGCUGCAGCUCUAGCCUGUGAGGACCUCCUUAAGCCCAUGGAUCCACCACGACUAGACCAGCAGCUCUUGAGGAAAUGGGCCCUCGUCGCAGGCAGCCUGAGCCACCCUGCAUCCCUGGAGAGUCUCAAGACCAGAGACGGCAUCACCAUGGAGUUUUCACCCUCUACCCCCAACACCACCCAGAACUCCAACACCACCACAACCGUCCACUACACCCAGACUAACCGUUUCGGCAGCCGAUGCGAGUCACUAACCUACAAUAUCUCACUCCUCAACGACAACAGCACCUUCCAGUUCGACGUGGGGGGCCGAUUCAACCUCACUGGGGUCUUCCUGGAGACCUCCUGCCCAGACUGUCUGGUGGGAGGUGAGCUCCAGGAGGAGGGAGUCCACGGACCUGUACCUGCUGAGGAAGACGGAGGGUGGGAGAGAGGUGGAGGAAGAGGAGAUGGAAGAGUUCAGGAAACAGGUGGAGUGUAUGGGGCUGCCGCCGCCAGUGGUGAUGGAGCCGGGGGAUGCCCUCUGUGGUUCCCAUCAGCUCCCCUGGAAACACUGAGGAGGAGGAGGAGAAGACGAAGCUCGAUCAGAGUGAUCAGAGAGGUGGGGCCGUGAGACCGAUGUAGAGACACGUUUUCUGUCGUCUGUGUUGUAAUCCAACAUUUCCGUGUUUACUGUUGUCGAUGACCUGUAGAAUUUUGAGGGGGGGAAAAGAUGCACGAUUUGUCAUAUUAUUCUGUCUUCUUUGCUUCUUUAACAGAUGUAAUUACGUUCACAGACUGAUUUAAUGUCCCAGAGCUGAAGCUAAUUCACAGAGACAGUGGGAUCCAGCAGGAAUGUCGGGACGUCAUUAGGACUCUAUGCACAAUGGGAAAGAAAAGUAUUUUAUAAUUGGAUUACUUUUGUAUAAUUUGGCAUAAACUCAUUUGUCCAUGCAAUUAAAGUGCUCAUACUGUUAAUUCUCAGAUUA